UACGUAGGGUGCGAGCGUUGUCCGGAAUUAUUGGGCGUAAAGAGCUCGUAGGCGGUGUGUCACGUCGGCCGUGAAAACCUGCAGCUUAACUGUGGGCGUGCGGUCGAUACGGGCAUCACUGGAGUUCGGCAGGGGAGACUGGAACUCCUGGUGUAGCGGUGAAAUGCGCAGAUAUCAGGAAGAACACCAAUGGCGAAAGCAGCUCUCUGGGACGGUACUGACGCUGAGACGCGAAAGCGUGGGGAGCGAACAGG
Molecule: ribosomal RNA, 254 nt
Filed under: uncultured bacterium
Lineage: Bacteria
Description: partial 16S ribosomal RNA
Rfam family: Bacterial small subunit ribosomal RNA
Source: RNAcentral